AAAUGAAUAGACGGGGACCCGCACAAGCGGUGGAACAUGUGGUUUAAUUCGUAGACAAGCGAGGAACCUUACCAGGACUUGACAUCUCCGGAACCUGCUAGAAAUAGCGGGGUGCCUUCGGGAGCCGGAUGACAGGUGCUGCACGGUCGUCGUCAGCUCGUGUCGUGAGAUGUAGCCUUAAGUGGUGAAACGAGCGCAACCCUUGUCCUAAUUUAUAUUUUAAUUAGGAGACUGCCUCGGUUAACGGGGAGGAAGGUGAGGAUGACGUCAGAUCAGCGUGGCCCUUAUGUCCUGGGCGACACACGUGUUACAAUGGCUAGUACAAUGGGUUGCCAAGCCGCAAGGUGGAGCUAAUCCCAUCAAAGCUAGUCUCAGUACGGAUUGGAGUCUGCAACUCGACUCCAUGAAGUUGGAAUCGCUAGUAAACGCGUAUCAGCCACGGCGCGUUGAAUACGUUCUCGGGUCUUGUACACACCGCCCGU
RNAcentral lists this ribosomal RNA (482 nucleotides) under uncultured bacterium. Its description in RNAcentral is "bacterial SSU rRNA". It matches the Rfam family "Bacterial small subunit ribosomal RNA", at positions 903 to 1397 of the family's 1533-position model. The record is from RNAcentral.